CCUACGGGGGGCAGCAGUGGGGAGUAUUGCACAAUGGGCGCAAGCCUGAUGCAGCCAUGCCGCGUGUGUGAAGAAGGCCUUCGGGUUGUAGAGCACUUUCAGCGGGGAGGAAGGCGGAGAGGUUAAUAACCUCAUCGAUUGACGUUACCCGCAGAAGAAGCACCGGCUAACUCCGUGCCAGCAGCCGCGGUAAUACGGAGGGUGCAAGCGUUAAUCGGAAUUACUGGGCGUAAAGCGCACGCAGGCGGUCUGUCCAGUCGGAUGUGAGAUCCCCGGGCUCAACCUGGGAACUGCAUUCGAAACUGGCAGGCUAGGGUCUUGUAGAGGGGGGUAGAAUUCCAGGUGUAGCGGUGAAAUGCGUAGAGAUCUGGAGGAAUACCGGUGGCGAAGGCGGCCCCCUGGACAAAGACUGACGCUCAGGUGCGAAAGCGUGGGGAGCAAACAGGAUUAGAUACCCCAGUAGUC
RNAcentral lists this ribosomal RNA (465 nucleotides) under uncultured bacterium. Its description in RNAcentral is "bacterial SSU rRNA". It matches the Rfam family "Bacterial small subunit ribosomal RNA", at positions 338 to 795 of the family's 1533-position model. The record is from RNAcentral.